UACGGAGGGUGCAAGCGUUAUCCGGAUUCACUGGGUUUAAAGGGUGCGUAGGUGGGUUGGUAAGUCAGUGGUGAAAUCCCCAAGCUUAACUUGGGAACUGCCAUUGAUACUAUCAGUCUUGAAUACCGUGGAGGUCAGCGGAAUAUGUCAUGUAGCGGUGAAAUGCUUAGAUAUGACAUAGAACACCAAUUGCGAAGGCAGCUGGCUACACGAGUAUUGACACUGAGGCACGAAAGCGUGGGGAUCAAACAGG
This 253-nucleotide ribosomal RNA is filed under the name uncultured bacterium. RNAcentral's name for it is "partial 16S ribosomal RNA". It matches the Rfam family "Bacterial small subunit ribosomal RNA", at positions 524 to 776 of the family's 1533-position model. The record is from RNAcentral.